CCAUCCAAUCAUCGGAUCCUCAUCAUCAAUGGCAUAAUCAUCUAUCGUCAGAUCCAUAUACUUCAGCUGUAUUUCAUCCUAUACAUAUUUUAGCCUCAAUCUCAAAUUAUAGUGCACAUAAACAAGAUCGUUGAGGUGCUUCUGUAUCGGAUAAUUUCUCUGUUUGCUAUGAAUAAGAACAAAAGUCGACCAAUUGCGCUCACACCCACUUGAGGAGACCGUUUGAGAAAGAAUGCAGAUGGCCAUACUUUUCAGAUUUGAUGCGGACUGUCCAAAAUGAAUCCACCAUUUAGCUGUUAAAAAAUUAAACAAAAUUACAUAUCAGAUUUUAUGGUAUUAGCAGGCAUGUAAUUUCAACAAAAUCCUUACUGUUGAUAUGUAAUUUAUCUGGAUUCAUCUUUUUUUUGCUUACGACAGCCGAUGAAACACCAAAGCUGCAUGUCGCCUCUCUAAAC
RNAcentral lists this long non-coding RNA (455 nucleotides) under Elaeis guineensis (African oil palm). Its description in RNAcentral is "long non-coding RNA (EGUI_LNC000875)". Lineage: Eukaryota; Viridiplantae; Streptophyta; Magnoliopsida; Arecales; Arecaceae. The record is from RNAcentral.